CUUGGAUUUUAUGUAUAAGUGCAACGAAACGACUCUGGAGGAAUAAAUAGCGUGCAAAUGCGAAAACGUAUAAAUGUAAAACGUGCGAGUAGGAUGAUUUUACAUGCAAAAUCGAAAGAAUGUACAAAACACAACGUACAAAUGAGAAAAACGCACUUGUAUAAACGGGGUUCUACUAUACAGUAUAUUGAGAAAAAUUGGGGGUACUGUAGUACCACAGUGUCUAUGCACGAGCCGCCCCUGGAUCUGAUUUUUAUAUAAUAUUCUGUUAUCAACUGUUUCUUUUUUUGCCUUUUGUAUCUUUUAAAUUUUCACAUCUCUAAUCUUGAAGAGGUCAUUAAUAAUUCUUAGAAUUUCAGUUUGUUUUUACUGCUUCUGCUGUUUUGUGUAUGUCGAAAUGGAUGAAAUGAACUCUAUAAUGAAAUACUGCAC
This 432-nucleotide long non-coding RNA is filed under the name Androctonus crassicauda. Lineage: Eukaryota; Metazoa; Arthropoda; Arachnida; Scorpiones; Buthidae. The record is from RNAcentral.